Molecule: non-coding RNA, 102 nt
Organism: Ustilago sp. UG-2017a
Lineage: Eukaryota; Fungi; Basidiomycota; Ustilaginomycetes; Ustilaginales; Ustilaginaceae
Source: the annotation of a GenBank genome assembly
GGCUUCAUGCCGCAGUUGGUUAGCGCGUCUCCUUAACACUUCGAGUCUUCGGAUCGAUAGGGCUUACGGAGGAGGUCGCCGGUUCGAACCCGGCUGAAAUCA